This 253-nucleotide ribosomal RNA is filed under the name uncultured bacterium. RNAcentral's name for it is "partial 16S ribosomal RNA". It matches the Rfam family "Bacterial small subunit ribosomal RNA", at positions 524 to 776 of the family's 1533-position model. The record is from RNAcentral.
CACGUAGGGCGCGAGCGUUGUCCGGAAUUAUUGGGCGUAAAGAGCUCGUAGGCGGCCUGUUGCGUCCGCUGUGAAAUCCCGGGGCUUAACCCCGGGCUUGCAGUGGAUACGGGCAGGCUGGAGGCCGGCAGGGGAGAACGGAAUUCCCGGUGUAGCGGUGAAAUGCGCAGAUAUCGGGAGGAACACCGGUGGCGAAGGCGGUUCUCUGGGCCUGUACUGACGCUGAGGAGCGAAAGCGUGGGGAGCGAACAGG